This 66-nucleotide transfer RNA is filed under the name Caudoviricetes sp. RNAcentral's name for it is "tRNA-OTHER". It matches the Rfam family "tRNA". Rfam says of the family: Transfer RNA (tRNA) molecules are approximately 80 nucleotides in length. Their secondary structure includes four short double-helical elements and three loops (D, anti-codon, and T loops). The record is from RNAcentral. Lineage: Duplodnaviria; Heunggongvirae; Uroviricota; Caudoviricetes.
GACAAAGUAGUAUUGUGGUAAUACGCUAGAAAUAGAGAUGGUGGGUUCGAAUCCCACCCUUUGUCC